RNAcentral lists this ribosomal RNA (429 nucleotides) under Bacteroidota bacterium. Its description in RNAcentral is "Bacteroidetes bacterium partial 16S ribosomal RNA". It matches the Rfam family "Bacterial small subunit ribosomal RNA", at positions 355 to 776 of the family's 1533-position model. The record is from RNAcentral. Lineage: Bacteria; Pseudomonadati; Bacteroidota.
UAGGGAAUCUUCGGCAAUGGGGGGAACCCUGACCGAGCAACGCCGCGUGAGUGAAGAAGGUUUUCGGAUCGUAAAGCUCUGUUGUUAAGGAAGAACGAGUGUGAGAAUGGAAAGUUCAUGCUGUGACGGUACUUAACCAGAAAGGGACGGCUAACUACGUGCCAGCAGCCGCGGUAAUACGUAGGUCCCGAGCGUUGUCCGGAUUUAUUGGGCGUAAAGCGAGCGCAGGCGGUUAGAAAAGUCUGAAGUGAAAGGCAGUGGCUCAACCAUUGUAGGCUUUGGAAACUGUUUAACUGGAGUGCAGAAGGGGAGAGUGGAAUUCCAUGUGUAACGGUGAAAUGCGUAGAUAUAUGGAGGAACACCGGUGGCGAAAGCGGCUCUCUGGUCUGUAACUGACGCUGAGGCUCGAAAGCGUGGGGAGCGAACAGG